GAUCUUAUAGCUCAGUUGGUAGAGCACAACACUUUUAAUGUUGGAGUCAUGGGUUCGAGUCCCAUUGGGAUCA
Molecule: transfer RNA, 73 nt
Filed under: Caudoviricetes sp.
Lineage: Duplodnaviria; Heunggongvirae; Uroviricota; Caudoviricetes
Description: tRNA-Lys
Rfam family: tRNA
About the family: Transfer RNA (tRNA) molecules are approximately 80 nucleotides in length. Their secondary structure includes four short double-helical elements and three loops (D, anti-codon, and T loops).
Source: RNAcentral